UGCUUGGGUAGCUCAGUUGGUAGAGCACUUGCCCGCGGAAGGCAAAGGUCCCGAGUUCGAGUCUCGGUCCGGCAU
RNAcentral lists this transfer RNA (75 nucleotides) under Schistocerca americana (American grasshopper). RNAcentral describes it as "tRNA-Pro". It matches the Rfam family "tRNA". From Rfam's summary of the family: Transfer RNA (tRNA) molecules are approximately 80 nucleotides in length. Their secondary structure includes four short double-helical elements and three loops (D, anti-codon, and T loops). RNAcentral also lists the same sequence under 1 other name. Lineage: Eukaryota; Metazoa; Arthropoda; Insecta; Orthoptera; Acrididae. The record is from RNAcentral.